UUGAACGCUGGCGGCAUGCUUUACACAUGCAAGUCGAACGGUAACAGGCCUUCGGGUGCUGACGAGUGGCGAACGGGUGAGUAAUGCAUCGGAACGUACCCAGAGGUGGGGGAUAACGCAGCGAAAGCUGUGCUAAUACCGCAUGUGAUCUGAGGAUGAAAGCGGGGGACCGAGCAGCAAUGUUUGGCCUCGCGCCUUGGGAGCGGCCGAUGUCGGAUUAGCUAGUUGGUGGGGUAAAGGCCUACCAAGGCGACGAUCCGUAGCUGGUCUGAGAGGACGACCAGCCACACUGGGACUGAGACACGGCCCAGACUCCUACGGGAGGCAGCAGUGGGGAAUUUUGGACAAUGGGCGCAAGCCUGAUCCAGCAAUGCCGCGUGCGGGAAGAAGGCCUUCGGGUUGUAAACCGCUUUUGGCAGGAACGAAACGGUGUCCGCUAAUACCGGGCGCUAAUGACGGUACCUGCAGAAUAAGCACCGGCUAACUACGUG
This 491-nucleotide ribosomal RNA is filed under the name uncultured bacterium. RNAcentral describes it as "partial 16S ribosomal RNA". It matches the Rfam family "Bacterial small subunit ribosomal RNA", at positions 29 to 507 of the family's 1533-position model. The record is from RNAcentral.